CAGCCUCCAGUGGUGCGUGUCACCUUCCUGCAAGGCAACCCGUUUGCAGCUCUAGCCAGAGGGAAAAUUACUGGACAACAAAAUGAAAAGGAGGCAUAAGUCAGCCCAGAUCUCUGAACCCUAGGAA
RNAcentral lists this long non-coding RNA (127 nucleotides) under Sus scrofa (pig). Its description in RNAcentral is "lncRNA (ENSSSCG00015008982.1, ENSSSCG00030049695.1, ENSSSCG00055029041.1)". Lineage: Eukaryota; Metazoa; Chordata; Mammalia; Artiodactyla; Suidae. The record is from RNAcentral.